This 908-nucleotide ribosomal RNA is filed under the name uncultured bacterium. RNAcentral's name for it is "bacterial SSU rRNA". It matches the Rfam family "Bacterial small subunit ribosomal RNA", at positions 8 to 915 of the family's 1533-position model. The record is from RNAcentral.
AGAGUUUGAUCCUGGCUCAGAUUGAACGCUGGCGGCAGGCUUAACACAUGCAAGUCGAACGAUGAAAUCUAGCUUGCUAGAUGGAUUAGUGGCGAACGGGUGAGUAAUGCUUAGGAAUCUGCCUAUUAGUGGGGGAUAACCAUCCGAAAGGAUGGCUAAUACCGCAUACGUCUUACGAGAGAAAGGGGGCUUUUAGCUCUCGCUAAUAGAUGAGCCUAAGUCGGAUUAGCUAGUUGGUGGGGUAAAGGCCUACCAAGGCGACGAUCUGUAGCUGGUCUGAGAGGAUGAUCAGCCACACUGGGACUGAGACACGGCCCAGACUCCUACGGGAGGCAGCAGUGGGGAAUAUUGGACAAUGGGCGAAAGCCUGAUCCAGCCAUGCCGCGUGUGUGAAGAAGGCCUUUUGGUUGUAAAGCACUUUAAGUGGGGAGGAAAAGCUUGUGGUUAAUACCCAUUAGCCCUGACGUUACCCACAGAAUAAGCACCGGCUAACUCUGUGCCAGCAGCCGCGGUAAUACAGAGGGUGCAAGCGUUAAUCGGAAUUACUGGGCGUAAAGCGAGCGUAGGUGGUUACUUAAGUCAGAUGUGAAAGCCCCGGGCUUAACCUGGGAAUUGCAUCUGAUACUGGGUGACUAGAGUAGGUGAGAGGGAAGUAGAAUUCCAGGUGUAGCGGUGAAAUGCGUAGAGAUCUGGAGGAAUACCGAUGGCGAAGGCAGCUUCCUGGCAUCAUACUGACACUGAGGUUCGAAAGCGUGGGUAGCAAACAGGAUUAGAUACCCUGGUAGUCCACGCCGUAAACGAUGUCUACCAGUCGUUGGGUCUCUUGAAGACUUAGUGACGCAGUUAACGCAAUAAGUAGACCGCCUGGGGGAGUACGGCCGCAAGGUUAAAACUCAAAGGAAUUGACG